Molecule: ribosomal RNA, 485 nt
Filed under: uncultured bacterium
Lineage: Bacteria
Description: bacterial SSU rRNA
Rfam family: Bacterial small subunit ribosomal RNA
Source: RNAcentral
AUUGAACGCUGGCGGCAUGCCUUACACAUGCAAGUCGAACGGCAGCACGGACUUCGGUCGUGGUGGCGAGUGGCGAACGGGUGAGUAAUGUAUCGGAACGUACCUUUCAGUGGGGGAUAACGUAGCGAAAGUUACGCUAAUACCGCAUAUUCUGUGAGCAGGAAAGCAGGGGAUCGCAAGACCUUGCGCUGAUUGAGCGGCCGAUAUCAGAUUAGCUAGUUGGUGGGGUAAAGGCCUACCAAGGCGACGAUCUGUAGCGGGUCUGAGAGGAUGAUCCGCCACACUGGAACUGAGACACGGUCCAGACUCCUACGGGAGGCAGCAGUGGGGAAUUUUGGACAAUGGGGGCAACCCUGAUCCAGCCAUGCCGCGUGAGUGAAGAAGGCCUUCGGGUUGUAAAGCUCUUUCGGCCGGGAAGAAAUCGCACAGGCUAAUACCCUGUGUGGAUGACGGUACCGGAAUAAGAAGCACCGGCUAACUACGUG